AUUGAACGCUGGCGGUAUGCUUAACACAUGCAAGUCGAACGGUAACAGCAGAAGCUUGCUUCUGGCUGACGAGUGGCGGACGGGUUAGUAACGCGUGGGAAUAUACCCUUUUCUACGGAAUAGCCUCGGGAAACUGAGAGUAAUACCGUAUACGCCCUUCGGGGGAAAGAUUUAUCGGUGAAGGAUUAGUCCGCGUAAGAUUAGAUAGUUGGUGGGGUAAUGGCCUACCAAGUCUACGAUCUUUAGCUGGUUUGAGAGGAUGAUCAGCAACACUGGGACUGAGACACUGCCCAG
Molecule: ribosomal RNA, 294 nt
Filed under: uncultured Octadecabacter sp.
Lineage: Bacteria; Pseudomonadati; Pseudomonadota; Alphaproteobacteria; Rhodobacterales; Roseobacteraceae
Description: partial 16S ribosomal RNA
Rfam family: Bacterial small subunit ribosomal RNA
Source: RNAcentral